Molecule: ribosomal RNA, 405 nt
Filed under: uncultured prokaryote
Description: bacterial SSU rRNA
Rfam family: Bacterial small subunit ribosomal RNA
Source: RNAcentral
UGGGGGAUAUUGCACAAUGGGCGAAAGCCUGAUGCAGCAACGCCGCGUGAGGGAAGACGGUUUUCGGAUUGUAAACCUCUGUCUUUGGUGACGAAACAAAUGACGGUAGCCAAGGAGGAAGCCACGGCUAACUACGUGCCAGCAGCCGCGGUAAUACGUAGGUGGCGAGCGUUGUCCGGAAUUACUGGGGGUAAAGGGAGCGCAGGCGGGGAGACAAGUCAGAUGUUAAAUCUAUCGGCGUACCUGAUAGAGUGCAGUUGAAACUGUUUUUCUUUAGUGGAGCAGAGGCAGGCGGAAUUCCGAGUGUAGCGGUGAAAUGCGUAGAUAUUCGGAGGAACACCAGUGGCGAAGGCGGCCUGCUGGGCUUUAACUGACGCUGAGGCUCGAAAGUGUGGGGAGCAAACA